RNAcentral lists this ribosomal RNA (298 nucleotides) under uncultured Anoxybacillus sp. Its description in RNAcentral is "partial 16S ribosomal RNA". It matches the Rfam family "Bacterial small subunit ribosomal RNA", at positions 1080 to 1382 of the family's 1533-position model. Lineage: Bacteria; Bacillati; Bacillota; Bacilli; Caryophanales; Anoxybacillaceae. The record is from RNAcentral.
UUAAGUCCCGCAACGAGCGCAACCCUCGACCUUAGUUGCCAGCAUUCAGUUGGGCGCUCUAAGGUGACUGCCGGCUAAAAGUCGGAGGAAGGUGGGAUGACGUCAAAUCAUCAUGCCCCUUAUGACCUGGGCUACACACGUGCUACAAUGGGCGGUACAAAGGGUCGCGAACCCGCGAGGGAGCCAAUCCCAAAAAGCCGCUCUCAGUUCGGAUUGCAGGCUGCAACUCGCCUGCAUGAAGCCGGAAUCGCUAGUAAUCGCGGAUCAGCAUGCCGCGGUGAAUACGUUCCCGGGCCUU